AGUGAACGCUGGCGGUAGGCCUAACACAUGCAAGUCGAACGGCAGCACAGGAGAGCUUGCUCUCUGGGUGGCGAGUGGCGGACGGGUGAGGAAUACAUCGGAAUCUACUUUUUCGUGGGGGAUAACGUAGGGAAACUUACGCUAAUACCGCAUACGACCUACGGGUGAAAGCAGGGGACCUUCGGGCCUUGCGCGAUUGAAUGAGCCGAUGUCGGAUUAGCUAGUUGGCGGGGUAAAGGCCCACCAAGGCGACGAUCCGUAGCUGGUCUGAGAGGAGGAUAAGCCACACUGGAACUGAGCCACGGUCCAGACUCCUACGGGAGGCAGCAGUGGGGAAUAUUGGAGAAUGGGCGCAAGCCUGAUCCAGCCAUACCGCGUGGGUGAAGAAGGCCGUCGGGUUGUAAAGCCCUUUUGUUGGGAAAGAAAUCCAGCUGGCUAAUACCCGGUUGGGAUGACCGUACCCAAAGAAUAAGCACCGGCUAACUUCGUGCCAGCCGCCGCUGUAA
RNAcentral lists this ribosomal RNA (506 nucleotides) under uncultured bacterium. RNAcentral's name for it is "partial 16S ribosomal RNA". It matches the Rfam family "Bacterial small subunit ribosomal RNA", at positions 29 to 523 of the family's 1533-position model. The record is from RNAcentral.